AAUAUUGGACAAUGGGGGCAACCUUGAUCCAGCCAUGCUGCGUGUGUGAAGAAGUUCUUCUGAUUGUAUAGCACUUUAAGUUGGGAGGAAGGGCUUUAGGUUAAUACCCUGUAGUUUUGACGUUACCAUCAGAAUAAGCACCGGCUAACUCUGUGCAAGCAGCAGCGGUAAUACAGAGGGUGCAAGCGUUAAUCGGAAUUACUGGGCGUAAAGCGCGCGUUGGUGGUUCAGUAAGAUGGGUGUGAAAUCCCCGUGCUUAACCUGGGAACUGCUUUCAUAACUGCUGAGCUAGAGUACGGUAGAGGGUAGUGGAAUUUCCUGUGUAGCGGUGAAAUGCGUAGAUAUAGGAAGGAACACCAGUGGCGAAGGCGACUACCUGGACUGAUACUGACACUGAGGUGCGAAAGCGUGGGGAGCAAAC
Molecule: ribosomal RNA, 421 nt
Filed under: uncultured bacterium
Lineage: Bacteria
Description: partial 16S ribosomal RNA
Rfam family: Bacterial small subunit ribosomal RNA
Source: RNAcentral